AAGCAUUUGUCACCUUGGACUGGUGGCUCAGCCACAUUUAGCCCAACCACCAAAGCUCUCUAUUCAUUACCAUAAAUAAUUAUAAAUAUACAUAAAUAUAGAAGACCUACCACAAUGAAAUAUUAAUUCAUUCGUGAACUCAUAAUGACAGUCCCUUCGUCAUUUCCUUGCAAGAAAUACAUGCUAUUCCAUCGAUAAUUGUCGACGGAAUUUUAUCGACAGAUUUAAUUCCGUCAAUAAUAUAGAAGCAACCCAAGAUGAAGAACAACAAGAAAUCCCAAACGAUAUUAAUUUGUUCUGAAAUUCGACAGAUAUACAUGGAACAUUCAUUUGAGCAAGAAUAUCAAGGCAUGAAGGAAAACAUGAAGGUACCAACAACGAGGUUGUCAAGAACCUCGACCUCGGACCUUAACAAAGGUUUAGGGUUGUUGUGGUACCUUUCCUUCAAAAGUGUAUAUACAACCUCCCCAUAUUUGGACAGUCGGACAAAUUAUGGUUAUUCUCAAACCCUAGACUCGAGACAAGUUUAGACUUUUGAAUGACAUGGUACUUUCCUUUCUAUUUUUAAGGUGAUCAAUAUGUCAUUUUCUUUUUAAUUUUUAUGGUAAUAAAUACUUGUCACCCUACCACUUGGUAGACAUCGACGAUUGAGUUUAUUAAUAUAUUUUAAAAUUUCAUUACA
Theobroma cacao (cacao) is the source of this 682-nucleotide non-coding RNA. The record is from RefSeq and is a predicted model, not a curated record. Lineage: Eukaryota; Viridiplantae; Streptophyta; Magnoliopsida; Malvales; Malvaceae.